RNAcentral lists this ribosomal RNA (806 nucleotides) under uncultured Bacteroidota bacterium. RNAcentral's name for it is "bacterial SSU rRNA". It matches the Rfam family "Bacterial small subunit ribosomal RNA", at positions 1 to 799 of the family's 1533-position model. The record is from RNAcentral. Lineage: Bacteria; Pseudomonadati; Bacteroidota.
AGGGAGUUUGAUCCUGGCUCAGGAUGAACGCUAGCUACAGGCUUAACACAUGCAAGUCGAGGGGUAACGACAGCGAAAGCUUGCUUUUGCUGGGCGACGACCGGCGCACGGGUGAGUAACGCGUAUCCAACCUGCCCAUAACUAAGGGAUAAUCCGUAGAAAUGCGGUCUAAUACCUUAUGUGUUCCGACGAAGACAUCUGAAUUGGAAUAAAGAUUUAUCGGUUAUGGAUGGGGAUGCGUCUGAUUAGAUUGUUGGCGGGGCAACGGCCCACCAAGUCUGCGAUCAGUAGGGGUUCUGAGAGGAAGGUCCCCCACAUUGGAACUGAGACACGGUCCAAACUCCUACGGGAGGCAGCAGUGAGGAAUAUUGGUCAAUGGGCGAGAGCCUGAACCAGCCAAGUAGCGUGCAGGACGACGGCCCUAUGGGUUGUAAACUGCUUUUGUAUGGGAAUAAAGUGCUCCACGUGUGGAGUUUUGUAGGUACCAUACGAAUAAGGACCGGCUAAUUCCGUGCCAGCAGCCGCGGUAAUACGGAAGGUCCGGGCGUUAUCCGGAUUUAUUGGGUUUAAAGGGAGCGUAGGCCGUGGAUUAAGUGUGUUGUGAAAUGUAGGCGCUCAACGUCUGACUUGCAGCGCAUUCUGGUCCACUUGAGUGCGCACAACGCGGGCGGAAUUUGUCGUGUAGCGUUGAAAUGCUUAGAUAUGACGAAGAACCCCGAUUGCGAAGGCAGCUCGCGGGAGCGCAACUGACGCUGAAGCUUGAAAGUGCGGGUAUCGAACAGGAUUAGAUACCCUGGUAGUCCCCU